This 646-nucleotide ribosomal RNA is filed under the name Sarcogyne clavus. Its description in RNAcentral is "SSU rRNA". It matches the Rfam family "Bacterial small subunit ribosomal RNA", at positions 419 to 1113 of the family's 1533-position model. The record is from RNAcentral. Lineage: Eukaryota; Fungi; Ascomycota; Lecanoromycetes; Acarosporales; Acarosporaceae.
CUAGUUGUAUUACUAUUAGUUAAUGCAAGAUCGACUACGUCGACUAAAGUUCUAGGUACAAUAAUGAUGAUGACAAUUUUUUAUCUAUAUGUCUUGACCAAGUCUCGUGCCAGCAGUCGCGGUAAUACGUGGAAUACUAGUGUUAUUCAUCUUUAAUAGGUUUAAAGGGUACCUAGACGGUAUUUCUAGCCCAAAAUAGGGUACGGAUUUACUAUAGUUUUAUGUGAGGAGGGGAGUACUUAUGGAGUAGAGAUGAUUUUUUGUGAUACUAUGAGGAAACUGGUGGCGGCGAAAGCAACCUUCUAUGUAUAAACUGACGUUGAGGGACGAAGGCUUGGGUAGCAGAUAGGAUUAAAUACCCUAUUAAUCCAAGCAGACGAUUCUGAAUGCCAUAAAUUAUAUUAUUUUUGGUCUAUAAAUGAAAGUGUAAGCAUUCCACCUUAGGAGUAAUGUGGCAACGCAGGAACUGAAAUCAUUACACCGUUUCUGAAACCAGUACUGAAGUAUGUUAUUUAAUUUGAUGGUCCACAAUGAACCUUACCACAGCUUGAAUAUUAUUAAAUUAAUACUAGCGUUGCACGGAUGUCUUCAUUUAAUGUCGUGAGAUUUUGGUUAACUCCAUUAAUUAACGUAUACCCUUACUUUA